This 496-nucleotide ribosomal RNA is filed under the name uncultured bacterium. RNAcentral's name for it is "partial 16S ribosomal RNA". It matches the Rfam family "Bacterial small subunit ribosomal RNA", at positions 28 to 506 of the family's 1533-position model. The record is from RNAcentral.
GAUGAACGCUGGCGGCGUGCCUAAUACAUGCAAGUCGAGCGAACAGACGAGGAGCUUGCUCCUCUGACGUUAGCGGCGGACGGGUGAGUAACACGUGGAUAACCUACCUAUAAGACUGGGAUCACUUCGGGAAACCGGAUCUAAUACCGGAUAAUAUAUUGAACCGCAUGGUUCAAUAGUGAAAGACGGUUUUGCUGUCACUUAUAGAUGGUUCCGCGCCGCAUUAGCUAGUUGGUAAGGUAACGGCUUACCAGGGCGACGAUGCGUAGCCGACCUGAGAGGGGGAUCGGCCACACUGGAACUGAGACACGGUCCAGACUCCUACGGGAGGCAGCAGUGGGGAAUCUGCCGCAAUGGGGGAAAGCCUGACGGAGCAAGGCGGCGUGGGUGAUGAUGGUCUUCGGAUCGUAAAACUCUGUUAUUAGGAAAAAACAAAUGUGGAAGUAACUAUGCACGUCUGGACGGUACCUAAUCAGAAAGCCACGGCUAACUACGU